Molecule: transfer RNA, 67 nt
Filed under: Synergus sp. ZJUH_2016033
Lineage: Eukaryota; Metazoa; Arthropoda; Insecta; Hymenoptera; Cynipidae
Description: tRNA-Ala
Source: RNAcentral
UGGAUAAUAGUUAAUAUUUAUAACAUUUAAAUUGCAUUUAAAAAUAAUUUUAUAAAAAUUUAUCUUU